GGAUUUUCUUGCCUAUGAGGGAAUAAACAACUUGGACCCAGGGCAGCAGUCGGGUUCUCCCUGUGCCAGGGAAACUACAUGAGCCAUGGUUCUGGCAUUUUCCAUCUGCUUCUAAAACAAGGCACAGAGCCAACAGCUUCCAAGCAACUCAUGGGCUUCAAGACCUCACUCACUUGGGGUGUCCUGGAGUGUGUUACUUCCUGGGAGCUUGAGAGGAACCCGGAU
RNAcentral lists this long non-coding RNA (225 nucleotides) under Cricetulus griseus (Chinese hamster). RNAcentral describes it as "lncRNA (ENSCGRG00000026281.1)". Lineage: Eukaryota; Metazoa; Chordata; Mammalia; Rodentia; Cricetidae. The record is from RNAcentral.